Molecule: ribosomal RNA, 478 nt
Filed under: uncultured bacterium
Lineage: Bacteria
Description: partial 16S ribosomal RNA
Rfam family: Bacterial small subunit ribosomal RNA
Source: RNAcentral
GACGAACGCUGGCGGCGUGCUUAACACAUGCAAGUCGAACGGUAAGGCCCUUCGGGGUACACGAGUGGCGAACGGGUGAGUAACACGUGGGUGAUCUGCCCUGCACUUCGGGAUAAGCCUGGGAAACUGGGUCUAAUACCGGAUAGGACCACUGCCUGCAUGGGUGGUGGUGGAAAGCUUUUGCGGUGUGGGAUGGGCCCGCGGCCUAUCAGCUUGUUGGUGGGGUGAUGGCUUACCAAGGGGACGACGGGUAGCCGGCCUGGGAGGGUGACCGGCCACACGGGGACUGAGAUACGGCCCAGACUCCUACGGGAGGCAGCAGUGGGGAAUAUUGCACAAUGGGCGCAAGCCUGAGGCAGCGACGCCGCGUGAGGGAUGACGGCCUUCGGGUUGUAAACCUCUUUCAGCACCGACGAAGCGCAAGUGACGGUAGGUGCAGAAGAAGGACCGGCCAACUACGUGCCAGCCGCCGCCGUAA